RNAcentral lists this long non-coding RNA (1301 nucleotides) under Olea europaea subsp. europaea. The record is from RNAcentral. Lineage: Eukaryota; Viridiplantae; Streptophyta; Magnoliopsida; Lamiales; Oleaceae.
UAUCUUUCUUCGCUUUCAAUUUCCCAUAGAAAUUUCUCAUUUGAAACCAUAAAAUCCACUGAGAAGGGAUCAACUGGAAAUGUGUGGAGGUGUCACAAUUCCAGACACCAUAAAGCCGAACCCCAACAUCGCGUCGAUUGAUUGUCGAUUUGCUCUGGGGCUGUGCAGCUGCCAAUUUGAACAAGAAGAAGAUCCUGCUGAACUAUAACUCGAAGGAUUUGAUAUUUACUUUCGACUUUGAUUUCGAUGAUGAUUCGAGGCUGAAUCUGAGUGCUUCAAACACUACUCCUUUGACGAAGAGGAGACUGAUGGAAAGUCCUUACAUUUUUCUGGUUCCAAGCAAUACAUCCUCCGCAGUAAUAUUUAUAUUUAUGUAUAAAUGUUAAUUUUGUUGAUUUUUUUGUUAUUUUUGUAGGAUAUUAUAUUCAUUGUAACUCCUCACUGUUUGUUAUUGGUGUAAAUCUAUUGUCGUGGAAUUAUAAUAAUAAGAUGGUUAAUUAAAGAAAUUUUGUCUAAAUCUCUCAUCUUACAAGUUACUAAUUUAUUCUUUUUGUACGCCUAACAUAUGGAUGUAAAUGAAACAAUGGGGUUAAAAUAUCUGAAAGCUUUGUUCAAUUUCUCAAACCUAUGUAGGCGUUUAGUUCAGAUUCUACUUCCUCAAUUUGUUUUGCAAUUUUGUUGCUUCAAACAUUGAUCUGAAAGAUUCUCUACCUAUUUUCUCUUUAAGGUUGUAAAUCCGUCAAAUCUAUUGUAUCUGAGUAGAUUUUCAGAACUCCUCAAAGAGAAAGAGGACGGAUCAAUACAGAGGAAUCCGCUAAUGCUCAUGGGAUAAAUGGGCUGCUGAGAUAUGUGAUCCAACAAAAGAGGUCAGGGUUUGGCUUGGAACUAUUAACAGUGCUGAGGAAGCUGCAAGAGCUUAUGACACUAAAGCUCGGAGGAUCAGAGGGAAUGAAGCUAAGGCGAAUUUUCCCGAAGAAGUUGCUGUUAAAAUACCAAACUCUCAACUCUUUCAAUUGAUGUAAGAUCAGCAGUGCCAAUGGCAGAAACAAUUAAUCCAAAGUGACAAUCAGGAUCAGCAGGAAGGAAACCGUCUUCUGGAAGAUACGAGAGAGAACGGUGAUAUAGGAUAGAAGAAUAUUCUGCAAGUAAGCCAAAUGGGAUCAUUUUCUGUUACUGUUAGCAUCUAUAUGGUUAUAUGAUUUUUCAGUUGCCAAACAGAUUUAGUUUGUUUUGUAUAGCUUGUGGCACAAAUUCUAGAUUUUUCUUACUGAUUCUAUAUAUAAUCGAUAGUACAGAUUUAU